GUAGGUGGCAAGCGUUGUCCGGAAUUAUUGGGCGUAAAGCGCGCGCAGGCGGUUCUUUAAGUCUGAUGUGAAAGCCCAUGGCUCAACCGUGGAGGGUCAUUGGAAACUGGAGAACUUGAGUACAGAAGAGGAAAGCGGAAUUCCACGUGUAGCGGUGAAAUGCGUAGAGAUGUGGAGGAACACCAGUGGCGAAGGCGGCUUUCUGGUCUGUAACUGACGCUGAGGCGCGAGAGCGUGGGGGGGAGCAAACAGGAUUAGAUACCCUGGUAGUCCACGCCGUAAACCGAUGAGUGCUAAGUGUUAGGGGGUUUUCCCGCCCCCCCCCGUUAGUGCUGCAGCUAACGCAUUAAGCACUCCCGCCUGGGAGUACGGCCGCAAGGCUG
Molecule: ribosomal RNA, 383 nt
Filed under: uncultured organism
Description: partial 16S ribosomal RNA
Rfam family: Bacterial small subunit ribosomal RNA
Source: RNAcentral